AUCGCUCACAUGCACAGUGCUCAGCCUCGCCCAUGCCCGGAUCCCGAGGGACAGCUGCUCGGAGACCCACCCAGAAGCUAAGCUGCAGGGUGAGCAAUGUUUUCCACUGUGAGCGGGCGCCCGGCUAAGCUGCAUGUGGGUGAAUCAUGAAAGCCUGAACAGGGAGAUGGAUUAGGGCUAGAAGGGAACUCCACUUCAUAAAGCUUGUGCCUCCCCUCCCCCACCAAGAACAGGCCUGGAAAGGAGACCUACCACUUUCCAAAUAGUUGGAAGCAAGAGGAACCAACACAGAGAGACAGGGAAACUCGAUGCAUUCACUUAACCCUGGGUGGGACUGGACGAGGCUUCUUCAGGUCACGGGAGACUCUUACAAGAUGACCAUUUACCUAAAGGUGGCAGUGAAGCUUUUCAGUUUCAGGCCUUAUCAGGACUAACAAGGGGGCCCCUGGUUUUACGUAUCCAGCUUUGCCAACAGCGGGGAGCAGAGACACGCAGCCUGGUAAGAAAGGAGGUAAGGCUAUCCUGCACUCACUCAUUAUGGACAGAAUGCACCCCUGUAUAUGUUAGA
RNAcentral lists this long non-coding RNA (568 nucleotides) under Ursus maritimus (polar bear). RNAcentral describes it as "lncRNA (ENSUMAG00000018549.1)". The record is from RNAcentral. Lineage: Eukaryota; Metazoa; Chordata; Mammalia; Carnivora; Ursidae.